RNAcentral lists this unclassified non-coding RNA (253 nucleotides) under uncultured Micrococcaceae bacterium. Its description in RNAcentral is "contains 16S-23S intergenic spacer region". It matches the Rfam family "Bacterial small subunit ribosomal RNA", at positions 524 to 776 of the family's 1533-position model. Lineage: Bacteria; Bacillati; Actinomycetota; Actinomycetes; Micrococcales; Micrococcaceae. The record is from RNAcentral.
UACGUAGGGCGCAAGCGUUGUUCGGAAUUAUUGGGCGUAAAGAGCUCGUAGGCGGCUUGUCGCGUCGGCUGUGAAAGCCCGGGGCUCAACCCCGGGUCUGCAGCGGGUACGGGCAGACUAGAGUGCAGUAGAGGAGACUGGAAUUCCUGGUGUAGCGGUGAAAUGCGCAGAUAUCAGGAGGAACACCGAUGGCGAAGGCAGGUCUCUGGGCUGUAACUGACGCUGAGGAGCGAAAGCGUGGGGAGCAAACAGG